CGUAAGCGCGCGCAGGUGGUUUCUUAAGUCUGAUGUGAAAGCCCACGGCUCAACCGUGGAGGGUCAUUGGAAACUGGGAGACUUGAGUGCAGAAGAGGAAAGUGGAAUUCCAUGUGUAGCGGUGAAAUGCGUAGAGAUAUGGAGGAACACCAGUGGCGAAGGCGACUUUCUGGUCUGUAACUGACACUGAGGCGCGAAAGCGUGGGGAGCAAACAGGAUUAGA
Molecule: ribosomal RNA, 223 nt
Filed under: Bacillus sp. (in: firmicutes)
Lineage: Bacteria; Bacillati; Bacillota; Bacilli; Caryophanales; Bacillaceae
Description: Bacillus sp. (in: Bacteria) partial 16S ribosomal RNA
Rfam family: Bacterial small subunit ribosomal RNA
Source: RNAcentral